AAAAACAUCGCCUCUUGACUUGUAAAUAAGAGGUCCAGCCUGCCCAGUGAAUUUUUAACGGCCGCGGUAUCCUAACCGCGCGAAGGUAGCAUAAUCACUUGUUCUUUAAAUGGGGACUCGUAUCAACGGCAUCACGAGGGUUUUACUGUCUCCUCUUUUUGAUCAGUGAAAUUGAUCUUCCCGUGAAGAAGCGGGAAUACUUAUAUAAGACGAGAAGACCCCAUGGAGCUUUAAACCAAAUAGCAACUUAACCAUAUAUUGCCUAAUAAUUUUAAGCCCGUGCUAUAAGGUUUUUGGUUGGGGUGACCGCGGAGUAAAGCACAUCCUCCACGACGGAAAGACUAUAAUCUUUAUUUAAGAACUACAAUUCUAGAAAUUAGUAUACUAACGUUUACUGACCCGACAAUCGAUCAACGGAACAAGUUACCCUGGGGAUAACAGCGCAAUCUACUUCAAGAGCCCAUAUCGACAAGUAGGCUUACGACCUCGAUGUUGGAUCAGGGUAUCCCAGUGGUGCAGCCGCUACUGAAGGUUCGUUUGUUCAACGAUUAAAACCCUACGUGAUCUGA
This 569-nucleotide ribosomal RNA is filed under the name Polypedates megacephalus (Hong Kong whipping frog). RNAcentral describes it as "partial 16S ribosomal RNA". It matches the Rfam family "Bacterial large subunit ribosomal RNA", at positions 1809 to 2608 of the family's 2925-position model. Lineage: Eukaryota; Metazoa; Chordata; Amphibia; Anura; Rhacophoridae. The record is from RNAcentral.